Molecule: ribosomal RNA, 234 nt
Filed under: uncultured bacterium
Lineage: Bacteria
Description: partial 16S ribosomal RNA
Rfam family: Bacterial small subunit ribosomal RNA
Source: RNAcentral
GACGAACGCUGGCGGCGUGCUUAACACAUGCAAGUCGAGCGGUAAGGCCCUUUCGGGGGUACGACGAGCGGCGAACGGGUGAGUAACACGUGGGUGACCUGCCCUCCAGCUCUGGGAGUAAGCCUGGGAAACCGGGGUCUAAUACUGGAUAUGACUCCAUGACGCAUGUUGUGGGGUGGAAAGCCUUGUGCGGCUGAGGAUGGGCCCGCGGCCUAUCAGCUUGUUGGUGGGGGU